Molecule: unclassified non-coding RNA, 448 nt
Filed under: Hevea brasiliensis (rubber tree)
Lineage: Eukaryota; Viridiplantae; Streptophyta; Magnoliopsida; Malpighiales; Euphorbiaceae
Source: RNAcentral
GGUAUGGGAUUCAAUUGUAAGAGCAAGACCCUAAGAAUAUUACCUUUUUGUACUUGCCCAAGUUAUGUGGAAUUAAAUAAGUGUUCAGCUCGGGUCAGUGUGGAAAGUCUUUUAUGUGGGUUGUACAAACAAGAUCUGAUUAUUUGAGUACAAGUGUCAGAUGCAAGAGUUGCACUUUUUGAUCUCAUAAUAGUAAAGAUCUAAGGAUGAUAACCAUCUUGCUUAUGUAUCUUCUUGCCGAUGUUAUAUCAGCUGAUCAUAUUCCUGUUCUCUUAUGUGCUUAAUUGAAAGAAUGUAUAGAAACUCUACUCUGCCCUCUCACUCUAAUUUUGACUUGCAUCUUUUUUGGCUUAGUGUCACCCAUGGUCAUUGAAUUUAUGAGUGAAUUUCAUUAUGGCCAUUGAAUUGUAUUGAUAAAAUCACUUUAAUUUUGUUUCAAUAAGGUUAA